Long non-coding RNA from Gallus gallus (chicken), 1233 nucleotides. NCBI's taxonomy places the organism in Eukaryota, Metazoa, Chordata, Aves, Galliformes, Phasianidae. The record is from Ensembl.
CCGGCCGUCGCCUUCGCCCGGUAAAGGUGCGCCCCGCGCGGAGCCCCGGGACGCGCUGCAGCGGCGUUAGCGAAAGCAUCUGCUCGGCCCGGCCCCCGCCCCCCGCCGUUCCCGGCCGCUUUCCGCCGCGGCUCCGCUCUCCGCCCCCGGAGCCGCGGGUGCCCGGGGCGCGUCUCGCACCCCCGGAGCGGUGCCCCCGUCGGGAUGCGGGGCUGAUUGCCGCCCCACUGUCCGCCCGGCACCGCGCGGCGCCGCUCCUCCGUUUGGUUCGGUUCGUUUCGUUUUCCCCGUUCCGUUCGGGGGGUGCGCGGGGCCGAAAAAGGGGCACAUUUCAAAAAGGAGAAAUAAUAAUAAUGACGAUGAUUAAAAAAAUGCAGAUCAUUUUAAAUCUAACGCGGAAACAAAACGCCCUUUUCAGGCGAGUAUGAAUUUCGCUGGCACCGCUCCCGCCCGGUUCGGUGUCCCCGCUGUCCCCACGGCCGCUCCUCGUUCCCCGCACGGACACCCCCGGGCGCAGCGGUGGGAGCACUCCCGGCGGCUCUCUCCUUUCGCCCGCUCUGCCCUUUCCCCCCUCGCAAGCUGUGAGCACGGCCGGGCCCGGCGCGCUGCAGCAGUUCGCUUUCACCCUUCCCGCGGCCGCCGCGAGUUGCGGGGCCUCCGUCGGUACCACGGAGCGCUGCGGGGCUGGGAGGGCCCUUCGCCCCGAGAGCGAUUUCUAAGGGCGGGCGGUGCGCUGCCCCCAACCGGGUCCGGGGAUGCGGGGGUCCGUUGGGCUCCCCUCGGCCCCGCACGGCCCGCUGCGCCUCUCCAGCAACUUUCCCCGCAGUGAGAGGGCGCGGGGUCGGGGCGCCGCCUGAACAAAGGUCUGCGGGGCGACGUCCCGAGCGAACAGCGCGGUGCGGCGGUGCUCCCACCCGUGGCACAGCCCUGCGCUCCCCACGGCCGGACGGGACGCCGCGCCGCGUCGGUGCCGACGAGCGCCGAAAAGAGCUCGGAGUUGCGGAGCGGUGCCCCGCAUCGCUGUGCCGCUCGCGGUGCGAUGCGGGGGUACGCACGGCCCCGCCCCCCUCCCCAUCCCCAACCCGGACGAACCCCGCCGGGGUUCUCUGCACGUCGGUAAAUGUCGUCGCUUACAUCCAAAGCUCUCGAUUUGUUUAUGGGAAAAUACAGUUAAUAAAUAAUUACAACUCCGACGGUGUGCGCGUCUGAGUGAGGGCUGCCGCCGGGCCGCGG